Molecule: long non-coding RNA, 180 nt
Organism: Bombus impatiens (common eastern bumble bee)
Lineage: Eukaryota; Metazoa; Arthropoda; Insecta; Hymenoptera; Apidae
Exons: 3
Source: RefSeq, a predicted model, not a curated record
UAAAAUAGUCUCGUAGUCGCAUAGUCUCGUGUUAUACUCAUCGUUCGUUCUAAUCACAUACUUUUACUAAUCAUACAGUAUACUUUGCUAUUUUAAAAUUUGCGAGUACCCAGCAACUCGUGUGAAGCGUACUUUCUGACCAACCGACGAACGAAGCGUAUCAAAGCUUUCUGCGAUCGA